UUUUUUUUUUUUUUUUUUUUGGCCAAGCCCAUGGCAUGUAGAACUUCCCAGGCCAGAAAUGAAAAACAUACCACCACAGCAGCAACUGGAGCUGCUGCAGUGACAACACCAGAUCUUCAGCCCGUUGAGCCACAAGAGAACUCCCUGAAGGAUCUUUUAUCUUGGAAAUAUUUUUUAUUUCUUUAAUUUUUCUUCCUCUGCUAUGAAAUUUUCUGUUUUAUAAUUUUUUUAUUUUAAAUUAAAAAUUUUUUUUUUUUGCUUUUUAGGGCCACACCAGCGGCAUAUGGAAGUUCCCAGGCUAAGGGUCUAAUCAGAGCUACAGCUGCUGGCCUACACCACAGCCAUGGCAACGCAGGAUCUGAGCUGUGUUUAGUAUUCCUUACCCACUAAGCAAGGCUAGGAAUUGAACCCACAUCCUCAUGGAUACCAGUCAGAUUUGCUUCUACUACUCCUGUUUUUAAAAAACUUUAGGGGUUUCUAUUGUGGCUCAGUGGAAAUGAAUCUGACUAGUAUUCAUGAGGACACAGGUUUGAUCCCUGGCCUCACUCGGUGGAUUAAGAAUCCAGCAAUGCCGUGAGCUGUGGCCUUUUACUCUAUCUAAGGACCCAGGACCUGCAGGGGCUGUCUAACGUCUUCCCAGAGAGUCUAUUAGGAGAAGAAUUCUCCAAUUUCUUUGUCUUGGAGUAAUUGUGGGGCCACAGCAAUUCUGCAUUGGGAGUUGGGAGAGAGACGAGAGAACUCUCGUAAGUAUUACUUCUCUGUUCUCCCCUUCACUUGCUCUUCCUGGGCUGUGAUAGUGGUCAUUCCUAGUCCCCUUUCCAUAGCAGCAGUCCUCUCCUCUUCUGCUCUAAGUGGCUGCUGCCUCCUGACUGCUUCUUGGUCACACUCAUGUGUUGAGCUCUCCCAUAUGCUGAUGGUUUUGGCUGAGAGAUUUUUUAAAUUUUAAAUUCCUGUAAUAUUAGUAAGAUCUAAGAGAGAAUGGAGAUCAACGUGAAUGCUUUGAUCUGCCAUCUUGGCUAAAUUUCCCAUCCCAGAGAGCGAGCAAAAUGGUAUUUCUGAGUGUAAGAAUGCUUUCAGAAGAGAUUAGCAUCAGAAUCUACAGACUUUGUGGAGAAGAUGGUCCUUACCAGUGUGGGUGAGCAUCAUCCAAUUUGUUGAGGGCCUGAAAACAGAGAGGCCCAGGAAGAGUGACUAUGGUUUCUGCGCUUGAGCUGAGACAUCCAUGGUCUCCUGCCUUUGGACCCUGGUGCUCUUGGUUCUCACAUCCUUGGAUUGGGACCAAAUUAAACCACCAACUUUCCUGGUUCUCCAUCUUGCAGACUGCAGAUCAUGGGAUUUCUUGGCCUUCAUAAUGCAUGAGUCAAUUCCUAUAAUAAAUGCAGACAGAGAGACAUAAAGAUAUAUAAUUAAAUGUGUAUAUGUUAACUCAGCAUUAAUUUUUUUUUCAAUCUUCGGCACCAAUAAUCACCAUUCAGUCAAUAGUUAAUGAAGCAUCUAUUUAGUGCCAGAGAAUAGAAUAGAAUAGAAUAGAAUAGAAUAGAAUAGAGUAGAGUAGAGUAGAGUAGAAGUAGAGUAGAGUAGAGUAGAGUAGAGUAGAGUAGAGUAGAAUAGAAUAGAAUAGAAUAGAUUUAGAUCUAUUUUGUGCUGGAUGCCUAGGAUACAAUGGUGAGCAAAAAUGCAUAUAUUUCUGGCCCUCAUAUAGUUCACAGUCUUGUGAUCACACAAAGAAAUAUAAAAUUACAUCUGUGGUUAGCACUUUGAAAGAAUGGGACAUUAGUCUAUGAGAGUGAAUAGGAGAUUGCUAACCAAGUCUGAGAGGUAGGAGAAGGUUUCUGUGAGAAACUGAUUCAUAGUAGCAUAAUUUUCAAUCAAUGCCAUUGUAUAUUUUAUAAACAUGUAUGUCUACUGUUAUUGCAUAUAUAGAUUUCAUCAAACCCACACUGCAUGAGAGAUUGUAGAGUAGAAGUAAAAACUGUUCAGCCUAGGUGUCAGAGGACCUGAGGCCUGGGGUCUUUCCGUGUCAGCUUUGCCAACAGAUGGCUGCGUGGUCUUGGGCAGCUCAACUUAGCUUCUCCAGGCAGGAGUUUUUCAUCUAGACAGUGAAAGCACUGGAUGAAAUGACCUGUCAGAUCAUUUCCAGAGCUAAAAUUCUCUCGGGAAUUUCUCUUGUGGCACAGCAGUGAGGGAUCCAGCAUUGCCACAGCUGUGGUGCAGGCUGCAACUAUGGCACAGUUUCCAUCCUGGGCCAGGGAACUUCCAUAGGCUUUGGGUACAGCCAAAAAAAAAAAAAGUCUCAGGAGUUUCUACCAUGGCUCAGUGGUAACUAACCCAGCUAGUAUCCAUGAGGACACCAGUUUGAUCCCCAGCCUUGCUCAGUGGGUUAAAGAUCUGGUGUUGCCAUGAGCUAUUGUGUAGGUCAGCAGCUGCAGCUCCGAUUCAACCACUAGCCUGGGAACUUCCAUAUGCGGCAGGUGUGGCCCCCCCCCAAAAAAAAAGUCUCUCAAAAUUUGUACACUUUCAUUAAAAUCUUGUCUUUUGUAAGUGCCUUGACUUAAGAAAUAAUUCUGCUCAAGUCAUCUUCAUAUACUUCAUUAUUCUAAGAAAGGAUCACUUGCUUCAGAAUAUUUGGGGGUACUUAUCUAAUUUGUGUGUGUGUGGAAAAAGACAGAAGAGAAAAGAGAACUAAACACAUGUGAGUAACAUGUGUCAUUUUAAAUGAAAAUAGGAAUAUAUUUCUAUGUUGGCAAAUACAUAUUUUCUUAUUUCUGGGAGAUGUACUGCCUGAACAACAGGGUUUCAAUUAACAAUUACUUUUUUGGGAGUUCCCAUUAUGGCUCAGAGGAAACGAAUCUGACUAGUAUCCAUGAGGAUGCAAGUUCGAUCCCUUGUCUUGCUCAGUGGGUUAAGGAUCCGGCAUUGCCAUGAGCUGUGGUGUAGGUGGUAGUCAUGGUUCAGAUCCUGCAUUGCUGUGGCUGAGGGAUGACCCCUAGCCUGGAAACUUCCAUAC
This 3007-nucleotide long non-coding RNA is filed under the name Sus scrofa (pig). Its description in RNAcentral is "lncRNA (ENSSSCG00055015897.1)". The record is from RNAcentral. Lineage: Eukaryota; Metazoa; Chordata; Mammalia; Artiodactyla; Suidae.